AGAGGACCUGACAUUAGUACGAGAGGACCGUGUUGGACAAACCUCUAGUGUACCUGUUGUGGCGCCAGCUGCAUCGCAGGGUAGCUAUGUUUGGAAAAGAUAAGCACUGAAAGCAUCUAAGUGCGAAGCUUCCCUCAAGAUGAGGUCUCCUUUAAGGGUCGUUCAAGACUAGGACGUUGAUAGGCUGUAGGUGUAAAGGCGGUAACGUCAAAGCCAAGCAGUACUAAUUACCCGUAGCUUUCUAUAU
RNAcentral lists this ribosomal RNA (247 nucleotides) under Bacteroidales bacterium. RNAcentral describes it as "partial 23S ribosomal RNA". It matches the Rfam family "Bacterial large subunit ribosomal RNA", at positions 2665 to 2925 of the family's 2925-position model. The record is from RNAcentral. Lineage: Bacteria; Pseudomonadati; Bacteroidota; Bacteroidia; Bacteroidales.